UACGUAGGGCGCAAGCGUUGUCCGGAAUUAUUGGGCGUAAAGAGCUCGUAGGCGGUUUGUCGCGUCUGCUGUGAAAACCUAAGGCUCAACCUUGGGCUUGCAGUGGGUACGGGCAGACUAGAGUGCGGUAGGGGUGACUGGAAUUCCUGGUGUAGCGGUGGAAUGCGCAGAUAUCAGGAGGAACACCGAUGGCGAAGGCGGCUUACUGGGUCUCUUCUGACGCUGAGGAGCGAAAGCUAGGGUAGCGAACGGG
This 253-nucleotide ribosomal RNA is filed under the name uncultured bacterium. RNAcentral's name for it is "partial 16S ribosomal RNA". It matches the Rfam family "Bacterial small subunit ribosomal RNA", at positions 524 to 776 of the family's 1533-position model. The record is from RNAcentral.